UCUUGGAACACCUACGGAAGCAGG
This 24-nucleotide non-coding RNA is filed under the name Cricetulus griseus (Chinese hamster). Lineage: Eukaryota; Metazoa; Chordata; Mammalia; Rodentia; Cricetidae. The record is from RNAcentral.